UUCACUAAAAUAAAUUUGGCUCGUUUAAUUUUCAUAAAAUUUUGUCAUAGUAUUUACUUUGACACUUUAACAAAAAUAUAAAAAUUUUUAAAAUUUUGAACCAACCAUUUUGUCAGAAAAAUUACACUGGUUAUAUAGCAAUUUGAUAACCACCAAUAUUGAUCAUUGAGAAGCUUAAUAUUCCUUUUACAACACAACGUAAUUAAAGACUUUAGCUGACUUACAGAGUUAUCCCCUUGUAGUGUUAGGUACCACCGUAAACUCCUUAAUAUUCAGUUAUUGGUGCUCUAGAAAUCACAGUUCCACUAUAUUGUGUCUUUUGAAAAAAAAGUUUGGCCAGUGAAUAAUAAAUAAGAAAAAUUCUGUUCUUAAUGCUUGUUUCAUAAAAACAGAAUAAUAAAGGAUGAUUUAUUGAAUAAUAUGUUUUAUUACCUGGUACAUGUAAUAAUGAAUGUGUUAUCAAAUUUUUAUCCAUUGAAUUUUAUAAUUUGCUGCAGUGCAGUUGUUCUUUUCCGUUUAAAACCUUGAGUUGCUGAAAUGUCAUCAAUUAAACAUGAAGUCUACUCUUCAAUGGAAGAAAAAGAAACCUAAACAACAUGAAUUUAUAGAAUUUUAUCAAUUUAUGCAAAUAGCAACAAGGAACAUUGGAAAUACAGGAGAAGCUAAUCUCAUUUGAAUUCUUCAUUUAUUUCACUAUACACACACUUCAUAUUUGUGUUAAAAUUAUUAUGAAAUUUACAAUUUAUAUACAUUCUCAGGAUAUUAUUUUCAUGUUUGUUUAUUUUGAAAAUGUUAAAGAUGAA
RNAcentral lists this long non-coding RNA (803 nucleotides) under Mytilus galloprovincialis (Mediterranean mussel). The record is from RNAcentral. Lineage: Eukaryota; Metazoa; Mollusca; Bivalvia; Mytilida; Mytilidae.